CCGGCGCUGACGUAAGGUCGCGCGGCGAUCCGGUGCUGACACCAUACCUUGGUUGGAUACCUCAUAAGGGCUGACGGGUGAGUAAUGCCUGGGGAUCUGCCCAGUCGAGGAGGAUAACAUUUGGAAACGACUGCUAAUACCGCAUACGCCCUACUGGGGAAAGCAGGGCAGCUUCCGGCCUUUAACGAUUGCAUGAGCCCAGGUGGGAUUAUCUACUUGGUGAGGUAAUGUUCUCACCCGCGGGACCAUCCCUAUCUGGUCUGACAGGAUAAUCACCCACACUGGCAACUGAGACACAGUCCAGACUCCUACUGAACGCACCAAUGGGGAAUAUUGCACAAUGCGAGAAACCCUGAUUCACCCAUGCCGCCUGUCUGAAGAAGCCUUCGAGUUGAAAGGCUUUCGCGAGUUGAAUGUUGGUGCUAAAUCUGCCUUAAUUAUAUUACUCCCAUAAAAACACCUGCUACUCCCUGCAGGACCCCGGUAUACUAAGGUCCCCAUUGUCGGGUUCGUGGGUAAUCGCCUCCACGAAUUGACCAUUGCUAUUCAAUCGCGGGGCCCCUUGAUUUUGUGAUUUAUGUUGCGGCGUACUCGCAAGGGUGUAUUUUCCGGUGCUCGGAACUGCGUACAGUGACGAGAUCCAGUCGCAACGUACCGCUGACAACACGAACUAAGUCGUUGCCCGAGACUUCGAGAUAGCUCCUCUUGUCAGGGGCCACUUCUCACUGGAUCUGGUAUUGAACGUGUUACCGUACACGGAUUCUCGCCGCUAGGGAUAUGCCGGAGGUUAAAUCGAUUACUAGUGGAGCCGGGUUCCGUGACAUGUGUUACUCGGGCACCUUACACCUAAUUGCAUAACUGCGGCACCCGUAAACCCGGAGGGCUCAGAUUCAAAGAUGUCUCGAAGUAUCCCCCCCGGUUUGAAUUUGGUUUUCCCCACAAAAGUCCUACCUUGUGCUUCAAAGGGGGAUGGAGGAAUGCCGAAAAGGAAAACGGGGGCCCCCAAAAAGGGAAUUGCUUGUCUGGGGCAACCCCCAAAAGGGGGCCCCGGGUGGACCACCAAACGGCUUCCCGGGGUUCCCACGGGGGGAGGUCCUUUCAAAAAAAAGUUUAAUUUCCCGUCCCCCCGGAAUGGGUCCCCCAAAUGGAACUGGGUUCCCUUUAUGGUCAGGCCCAAAGAAAGAAAAUAAAAAUAAAAUAAAGCUUGGUUUCAAACUCGGACCGAAUACGCCAAAGUCGGACCUGGAGUUUAACCUUGCCCUAAGGG
RNAcentral lists this ribosomal RNA (1267 nucleotides) under Aeromonas guangheii. Its description in RNAcentral is "partial 16S ribosomal RNA". The stretch from base 22 to 488 matches the Rfam family "Bacterial small subunit ribosomal RNA", at positions 39 to 536 of the family's 1533-position model. Lineage: Bacteria; Pseudomonadati; Pseudomonadota; Gammaproteobacteria; Aeromonadales; Aeromonadaceae. The record is from RNAcentral.